Molecule: long non-coding RNA, 843 nt
Filed under: Musa acuminata (dwarf banana)
Lineage: Eukaryota; Viridiplantae; Streptophyta; Magnoliopsida; Zingiberales; Musaceae
Description: long non-coding RNA (MACU_LNC000708)
Source: RNAcentral
AAAAUGUAGGGUAGGAUUGGAUCAUCCUUUUAGUAAACGACAAGAAUAGGAGCACAUUUCAAUCUUUUUGGAAAGGGAAAAAAAGGUGAGGGGAAGGGCUGUUCGCGGUACGUGAUUUUUGAGGCAGGCACUGUUCCUGUCAUCCCAAUCAAUGAUUGUUCUCCGAGAGAGAGAGAGAGAGAAAGAAAGAGAGAGCAAAAGAAGGGAGAUGAUGCACUCUUGGUCUAGAAAUGGUGAGGCUUAAAGACUAAUGAUUGCUCCUUACUCAACAUGACGAGUCCCUUCGGCCCUUGCAUGCCUCCCACAUGUACACACGGUACUGUUCUCAAUCAGGGAUGAGUAGUGGUGGUGCUGUGGACUGAGUCUGUCGAAAGCUGAGAGCCUCCAUCCAGUUAAGAAAAGCUAGUGAAUGAAUCGACUGUUGGGGUAUUACGUCAAGCUCACCGAAGAGGGCGGCCACUUCCACUGCUUUCCCUGCAGGUUGGGUGGAUGGCGACGUCGACUUCAGGAAACAAUGAACGAACGCAGCACAGAAUCUUUGUCGGCAGAUGGAGAGCACUUUAUCGUCUUCCUCGAGGCCCACUGCAGCAACAGCAGCAGCAACGCCAUUUCAACCCUAGUGCGCUCGUUGCAAUCUAAGCAAAGAAAAGAAAAAGGAAAAGGGCGUCAAAAGGACCUUCCUUUCGCGUCACCUUUGCCUUUCUGUCUCUCCUCUUUCUUCUUCUUCUCCUCCUCCUUCUUCUUCUUCUUCUUCUUCUGUUUCUUUCUUUCUCGCUCUUGUUGUGGGUGACGAUAAAAUAUACCCUUUCUGUCUCGGAGCUCGCUUUCCAUUCAUUGUCUCUG